Molecule: ribosomal RNA, 329 nt
Filed under: uncultured bacterium
Lineage: Bacteria
Description: bacterial SSU rRNA
Rfam family: Bacterial small subunit ribosomal RNA
Source: RNAcentral
AACGAACGCUGGCGGCGUGCCUAAUACAUGCAAGUCGAGCGAGAAAGCCUCUUCGGAGGUGAGUAAAGCGGCGCACGGGUGAGUAACACGUGGGCAACCUACCCUUGAGUCUGGGAUAACCCGGGGAAACUCGGGCUAAUACCAGAUACGGCUGCGGGGUCUUCGGAUCCUGUGGAGAAAGAUGGCCUCUUCUUGAAAGCUAUCUCUCGAGGAUGGGCCCGCGUCCUAUUAGCUAGNGGUGAGGUAACGGCUCACCAAGGCAAAGAUGGGUAGCUGGUCUGAGAGGAUGGCCAGCCACACUGGAACUGAGACACGGUCCAGACUCCUAC